RNAcentral lists this ribosomal RNA (450 nucleotides) under uncultured Glomeromycotina. RNAcentral describes it as "SSU rRNA". It matches the Rfam family "Eukaryotic small subunit ribosomal RNA", at positions 569 to 1023 of the family's 1831-position model. The record is from RNAcentral. Lineage: Eukaryota; Fungi; Glomeromycota.
AGCAGCCGCGGUAAUUCCAGCUCCAAUAGCGUAUAUUAAAGUUGUUGCAGUUAAAAAGCUCGUAGUUGAAUUUCGGGGUUAGCAAGUUGGUCGUGCCUUCGGUAUGUACUGGCUUUGCUGAUUCCUCCUUCUUGAAGAACUGUGAUGCUAUUAAUUUGGUGUUGCAGGGAAACAGGACUGUUACUUUGAAAAAAUUAGAGUGUUUAAAGCAGGCUAACGCCUGAAUACAUUAGCAUGGAAUAAUGAAAUAGGACGUUUGAUCCUAUUUUGUUGGUUUCUAGGAUUGACGUAAUGAUUAAUAGGGAUAGUUGGGGGCAUUAGUAUUCAAUUGUCAGAGGUGAAAUUCUUGGAUUUAUUGAAGACUAACUACUGCGAAAGCAUUUGCCAAGGAUGUUUUCAUUAAUCAAGAACGAAAGUUAGGGGAUCGAAGACGAUCAGAUACCGUCGUAG